Molecule: long non-coding RNA, 495 nt
Organism: Tribolium madens (black flour beetle)
Lineage: Eukaryota; Metazoa; Arthropoda; Insecta; Coleoptera; Tenebrionidae
Exons: 3
Source: RefSeq, a predicted model, not a curated record
UUUUAUUCUUACCUGAGGAACUUUGUGGUUGAAACGCGUUGUGUUUUCAAAUAAAAGUUUGGUGUGACGGGCUAAUCGUGUUUUUGUUCCCUUUCCAUACCAAGCUCCAAGAAGAAGAACCAAGAAGAAGAAAAAAAAUGGCUCUUGAAGCUUUCUAUAGCAUCUUCUUACUGCAGUAAUCAUUUGAAUCAUACGUGUUUCAGGAUCACGUAGUUAAAAUUUCCCAUCAGUUUGUAAGUGGGUGGGUAAUUGGUGCAAGCUUUCCAUCAGAAUCGGAUCGAGUUGAGAGAACAGAAACCAAUCGCUUCUGCGAUUAAUCGAAAACUCGAACUACUACUCCACAAUGUUAACCUAUUCGCAACUUGUGUAACACUUGCUGUUACAAAUAAAUUAAUGAUUGCCUUCGUGCAAGGAAGAAGUUAGAAGAUGUCAGUCGACGCUCCUUGUCCACAGAGAGGUCUUGGAUUUCAAGCAUUUAGCGCUAUAGUUCACUAU